GUUGGUGUCCAUGAUGACUGAUCUUUUUUCCCCAGCAGAUCGAUUCUGUUGACUGUCUUUUUAAGCCAAACUAGUCUGAUGCACCAAC
This is a small nucleolar RNA of Megalops cyprinoides (Indo-Pacific tarpon), 88 nucleotides long. RefSeq annotates it as small nucleolar SNORD12/SNORD106. The record is from RefSeq and is a predicted model, not a curated record. Lineage: Eukaryota; Metazoa; Chordata; Actinopteri; Elopiformes; Megalopidae. The transcript has a single exon.